GAUGAACGCUGGCUACAGGCUUAACACAUGCAAGUCGCGGGGCAGCAUGGGGGUUGCUUGCAAUCCCCGAUGGCGACCGGCGCACGGGUGAGUAACGCGUAUCCAACCUGCCCUUCACCACGGGAUAACCCGGCGAAAGUCGGACUAAUACCGUAUGUUGUCCAUUGACGGCAUCCGAUUUGGACGAAAGGCUUGGCGGUGAGGGAUGGGGAUGCGUCCGAUUAGCCAGACGGCGGGGUAACGGCCCACCGUGGCUACGAUCGGUAGGGGUUCUGAGGGGAAGGUCCCCCACACUGGAACUGAGACACGGUCCAGACUCCUACGGGAGGCAGCAGUGAGGAAUAUUGGUCAAUGGGCGUAAGCCUGAACCAGCCAAGUAGCGUGCAGGAUGACGGCCCUAUGGGUUGUAAACUGCUUUUAUGCGGGGAUAAAGUGGCCCACGUGUGGGCUUUUGCAGGUACCGCAUGAAUAAGGACCGGCUAAUUCCGUG
RNAcentral lists this ribosomal RNA (490 nucleotides) under uncultured bacterium. RNAcentral describes it as "partial 16S ribosomal RNA". It matches the Rfam family "Bacterial small subunit ribosomal RNA", at positions 28 to 507 of the family's 1533-position model. The record is from RNAcentral.